CCAAAGGAAAUCAAACUGUCCUCUCUUUCCUUAUUGAUUUUUAGGUUUUCUUUGUCAUUCAGCUAAAGCCUGCACAUUCUGAGUGACUCACAAUCCCUUUGAUUCAACAGUUGCUGAAGUGGUAAUUGUUUAAGAUAAAUAAGCACAUCUGGAAAGGCAUUCAUACAGAUCCAUCUUAGAAAAUCUGCAUUUUUGCAUUACAUCAGGUCUGAUGCAGACCCGGAACGCUCUUUAAAAUGUUUUGCCAUCACCACAGUGAUAUAGUAUAUUUCAUCAAUAAGAUGACGUUUUAACAGUGUGAAAACAGAUGUCUCUAUUUUUUUUACUCUUAUUUACAUUAUAAAUAUAGCAUUUUUUAUUUGCAUUUCACUGUGGAGGACUGAUUGUAUUUUAACAACCAGUGAAGAAAAAAAAUGAUGAGGACUAUUGUCAUGACAAUUAUUUCUUCAAGGAAGAUUGUCCGGACAUGUUCGAGUUACAGCCAUCUAUUAUGGUGUGAAACAUCUAAAUCGAGUGGGACAAGUCAAGACAAGUUUCAUGUUGCAGGAGUAACAAGAAGGUAUGUUUUUUUACACCCCCUGCUGGUAUAAUGAAGGACCCUACACUUCUUAUUCUUACAUACUAAUACGUUUCUACUGCCUCCCCACAACCUGGUACUGGAUUUUUCUGGAUAGUUGCAGUUUCAUGCACCAUUUUUAGCCAUCCUAUACAGUUUAACUCAUUAUUAUUUAAGUGUGUUGAAAUAUACAUUUUACAUUAAUAUAACAUACAUCAUUACAGAGCUUGGGAAGUACAUACAAUACAUUACGACACACUGGCAAAGAGAAUUCUAAUAAGAACCAUCAACUUAUAUGGAAAAAUCAACAUGAAUUAUUUAGAUUAAAAAGAUUAAAUGCCUAUUCCUUUGUUUUCCUUUUAAUUUUCUUUUUGAUGACAAGCAAGGUUAAGGUGUGUAGUUUACCACUGUGUAAUGAUUUUGAAAUGUUGCAAUAUACAGAAUAAUAUGCAAUAAGACACUCUCUACAUAGUAGUGUAUGUAAAUAUGCUUGUUUAUUGUGUUCUUCUCUUCUAAUGUUGACACUUUCAUUUUCAUUUUUUGUAUUUUCUUUGUACUGGAUAUUACAAUAAAGAUUAAAUUCUAUUGUGAUCUAUUCAGAUUAUAUAAAUCGCCAAAUGCACUUCAUUCUUGUGUGGUCAUCUGGUUUAAUGGCAACUAUCCAUUUAACUCUCCACUUUGAACCACCAUUUCAAUAAAAACGUUGUUAAAAUGUUGUUUGGUUAGUUGGUUAGUUAGUUGGUUCAUUGCGCAUUCUUAAAUUUAAUAAAUGUCACGUCAUAUCUUAUCACACCAGUUUUAGAACACACUCAGCAAGAACAGCCCUUUUCAUAUAGAUUAAUAGCCCAACGGUGUUUAAAGUCAGAGUGUUUCUUACUUCUGUGCAAGAAGUGUCAGUAAUACACCGUCGAUGCGACGUCGAACACCGUUUAUUGAUGUUUGGGCAAUGGGUCUAUUUUUCCUGUCGGAGGACUAUCGGUUUUUCAAGCCGUACAACUCGAGGUGUAUAAAUAUCAGUCUGCGGCACAGUGAAACCAUACUGCAUGUGCAAUGAAAACACUUCGUCGGUAUUAGACACGUCCCAGGUUUUUCAACCGUCAAAGAUGAUCAAUUUGGAGAUCAGAGCAAACAUCAAAUUUUUAACCAAACUUGAAUGGAAACCUGUUAAAAUUAUUGAAGCUUUGCAACAGGUUUAUGGGGACGCUUCACCAUCUAGAGCUGUUGUUUAUGCCUGGAUCAAACGAUUUAAGGAGGGUAGGGAAGGUCUCCAAGACGACCCCAGGGAAGGAAGGCCUUCCACGUCAAAAAAUGAACAUAAUGUUGAGCUUGUCAGAAAUCUAGUGGCAGAAGAUAACCAAAUCACAGUGGAUGCAGUUGCCAGUGAGGUUGGAAUCUCCCAUGGUUCUGCUUUUUCAAUUUUGACCCAAGAGCUUGGUCUGAGAAAACCUUUAGCUCGUUGGGUCCCAAAAACUUUCAGCGAGGAUCACCUGGCUCAGACGCCUGACGAUCUCCAGUGACUGCAUAUAUGGAGAAAAAGGAUUUAACCAAGUGAACCAAAAAAUAAAAUUCAAUCAAAACCAUGGCUACCAAAUGGAACACCUCGACCUGUGAAGUUCAAAGCAGAGAGCUUGGUUCAAAGCUGCAGUUUCCACAGUUCCAAAGGAAUCCUUGUGCAAUGGCAAGAUGACAAAGUCCAAAAAGAAAAACUUGCUUAGAAUGUCGCUGGACGUGCUGCUAUCCUGUCUUUAAUGUGCAUGAACAGAUUUAAUGCACUUCAUCAUAUGCCUAUCUGUUUUUACUGAGGAUGCUGCGGAUCAUGAAAAAACAAAUAUUUCUUCUAGUUUUGCCUUUGUGACCAAGAGAGAUUCCCAUGCUUUGACAGUUAAAAAAAAAAGCCAGGUUUCCAAGGUUUUUUUUUUCCUGGGGGAACAAGCUCCUUGGUCUGUUCCUCUAGGUUUUGCUUUUGUCCUUAUUUGCAGCAACAAUUAAAAAAAAAAAAGCAAAAGACUCUGGUGUUGGACUCCUGAUUAGGUCAGAACAGGGUUCAAUUCCCUGCGGUGUUGCUUUUCAGUUUGCUGUGUGGUGCCGGUUCAAUUACUUAAAAAACCUAAGAAUGCAGAAUAUGGAAACUUGAUAGGCUUAGAUUUAUGGAAGACAUUUUGGAACUGAAAGCAUAGGCACCAGUAGCAAGAGCAAUGGGGAAAACCUCACAUACUUAUUGUUAGAAUUUUCCUUUGGUAUCUUGUUCUAAAUAACACACACAACAUUACAUGUGUUUACAAUGAUGACAGCUGUACAUAGUGUGCUGACAAUUUCUUAUAGUGCAUCUUUAAUAUCUUAAGUGGGAAACCUGAUUUUUAUUUUUUUUAUCUGAAACUAUCCUUAAUAAAAAUCUAAAUAAAAA
Molecule: long non-coding RNA, 2960 nt
Organism: Cynoglossus semilaevis (tongue sole)
Lineage: Eukaryota; Metazoa; Chordata; Actinopteri; Pleuronectiformes; Cynoglossidae
Exons: 2
Source: RefSeq, a predicted model, not a curated record